ACGGUUAUAAAUCAACACAUUGAUUUAUAAGCAUGGAAACUCUGAGUGAAACAACAACGAAAUUGCUGUGUAGUCUUGCCCGUCUCCACGAUGGGCUUUUUUUUAA
This 106-nucleotide non-coding RNA is filed under the name Salmonella enterica subsp. enterica. RNAcentral describes it as "antisense sRNA RprA". It matches the Rfam family "RprA RNA". From Rfam's summary of the family: Translational regulation of the stationary phase sigma factor RpoS is mediated by the formation of a double-stranded RNA stem-loop structure in the upstream region of the rpoS messenger RNA, occluding the translation initiation site. Clones carrying rprA (RpoS regulator RNA A) increased the translation of RpoS. The record is from RNAcentral. Lineage: Bacteria; Pseudomonadati; Pseudomonadota; Gammaproteobacteria; Enterobacterales; Enterobacteriaceae.